GUAAGUAUAGCUUAUAUAGCUUAAGCGUUGGUUUUGUAAACCAAAGAAGGAUAAUCCUACUUACA
RNAcentral lists this transfer RNA (65 nucleotides) under Cernuella virgata. Its description in RNAcentral is "tRNA-Thr". It matches the Rfam family "tRNA". From Rfam's summary of the family: Transfer RNA (tRNA) molecules are approximately 80 nucleotides in length. Their secondary structure includes four short double-helical elements and three loops (D, anti-codon, and T loops). Further hydrogen bonds mediate the characteristic L-shaped molecular structure. tRNAs have two regions of fundamental functional importance: the anti-codon, which is responsible for specific mRNA codon recognition, and the 3' end, to which the tRNAs corresponding amino acid is attached (by aminoacyl-tRNA synthetases). tRNAs cope with the degeneracy of the genetic code in two manners: having more than one tRNA (with a specific anti-codon) for a particular amino acid; and 'wobble' base-pairing, i.e. permitting non-standard base-pairing at the 3rd anti-codon position. The record is from RNAcentral. Lineage: Eukaryota; Metazoa; Mollusca; Gastropoda; Stylommatophora; Geomitridae.